GAGUGGUUGGGACGAUUAUUGGGCCUAAAGCAUCCGUAGCCUGUUUGUAGGUCUCAUGUAAAUCCAUUCGCUCAACGAAUGGUCUGCAUGAGAUACCGCAUACUAGGAGGCGGGAGACGUGAACGGUAUUCCAUGGGUAGGGGUAAAAUCCUCUGAACCAUGGAAGACCACCAGUGGCGAAGGCGGUUCACGAGAACGCGCUCGACGGUGAGGGAUGAAAGCUGGGGUAGCGAACCGGAUUAGAUACCCGGGUAGUCCCAGCUGUAAACGAUGCAAGCUAGGUGAUGGAUUAGCCAUGUGUUAAUCCAGUGCCGCAGGGAAGCCGUUAAGCUUGCCGCCUGGGGAGUACGGUCGCAAGGCUGAAACUUAAAGGAAUUGGCGGGGGAGCACCACAAGGGGUGAAGCCUGCGGUUCAAUUGGAGUCAACGCCGGGAACCUUACCAGGAGAGACAGCAGGGUGAAGGUCAAGCUGAAGACUUUACCAGACAAGCUGAGAGGAGGCGCAUGGCCGUCGACAGCUCGUGCCGUGAGGCGUCCUGUUAGGUCAGGCAACGAGCGAGACCCUUAUCAUUAAUUGCUACCAUCGAUCGCAAGGUUGGCGGAGCUAAUUAACGGGACUGCCGUCGAUAAGACGGAGGAAGGAAGGGGCCACGGCAGGUCAGUAUGCCCCGAAACUCUUGGGCCACACGCGGGCUGCAAUGGUAGGAACAAUAGGCACCAACUUCGAAAGGAGGAGGCAAUCCCUAAAUCCUACCCCAGUUGUGAUUGAGGGCUGCAACUCGCCCUCAUGAAUCUGGAAUCCCUAGUAAUCGCGUGUCAACAUCGCGCGGUGAUAACUG
This 839-nucleotide ribosomal RNA is filed under the name uncultured crenarchaeote. RNAcentral's name for it is "bacterial SSU rRNA". It matches the Rfam family "Archaeal small subunit ribosomal RNA", at positions 486 to 1326 of the family's 1478-position model. Lineage: Archaea; Thermoproteati; Thermoproteota. The record is from RNAcentral.